RNAcentral lists this ribosomal RNA (424 nucleotides) under uncultured cyanobacterium. RNAcentral describes it as "bacterial SSU rRNA". It matches the Rfam family "Bacterial small subunit ribosomal RNA", at positions 356 to 795 of the family's 1533-position model. Lineage: Bacteria; Bacillati; Cyanobacteriota. The record is from RNAcentral.
UGGGGAUUUUCCGCAAUGGGCGAAAGCCUGACGGAGCAACGCCGCGUGAGGGAUGAAGGCCUCUGGGCUGUAAACCUCUUUUAUCAAGGAAGAAGAUCUGACGGUACUUGAUGAAUAAGCCACGGCUAAUUCCGUGCCAGCAGCCGCGGUAAUACGGGAGUGGCAAGCGUUAUCCGGAAUUAUUGGGCGUAAAGCGUCCGCAGGCGGCCCUUCAAGUCUGCUGUUAAAAAGUGGAGCUUAACUCCAUCAUGGCAGUGGAAACUUCUGGGCUUGAGUGUGGUAGGGGCAGAGGGAAUUCCCGGUGUAGCGGUGAAAUGCGUAGAUAUCGGGAAGAACACCAGUGGCGAAGGCGCUCUGCUGGGCCAUCACUGACGCUCAUGGACGAAAGCCAGGGGAGCGAAAGGGAUUAGAUACCCCUGUAGUC